AUGAGCGGCAACAUCACGCAGGACUGGGAGCCGGUGGUCCUGCGGCGGGCGAAGCCCAAGGCGGCCGACCUCAAGUCCGCCAAGGCGGUGAACCAGGCGCUGCGGACGGGCGCGCCGGUGGAGACGGUGCGCAAGGUGGCGGCGGGCACGAACAAGAAGGCCUCCGCCGCGGCCGUGGCGGCGCCCGCGAGGAAGCUGGACGAGAUGACGGAGCCGGCGGGGCUGGAGCGCGUGGGCGGCGACGUGCGGGCGGCCAUCCAGAAGGCGCGCGUGGCCAAAGGGUGGAGCCAGGCGGAGCUGGCCAAGCGCAUCAGCGAGCGGGCGCAGGUGGUGCAGGAGUACGAGAGCGGCAAGGCCGUCCCCGUCCAGGCCGUGCUCGCCAAGAUGGAGCGCGCGCUCGAGGUCAAGCUCCGGGGCAAGGCGGUUGGGGCGCCCGCGCCCGCCGGAACGAAGUGA
RNAcentral lists this ribosomal RNA (456 nucleotides) under Triticum aestivum (bread wheat). RNAcentral describes it as "partial small subunit ribosomal RNA". The record is from RNAcentral. Lineage: Eukaryota; Viridiplantae; Streptophyta; Magnoliopsida; Poales; Poaceae.